UCCACAUAGGUAGCAGGCCCACUACCGAAUCAAAAAGCCACGCGUGCAAGUUUCACCACCCCGACAAAAAAAGCCCUUAUUAUAACGCCUCUGCAAAAAUCGAAUCAGCAACUAGUUUUGCCCUUCUCCGCCGCGCGCAUCCGUUACAAACGGCGGCGCUAAUUUAACCGCACACUAAGAAGCUUCUAGAAAUGCCGAAGAAGAGCAAAGGGAAUCCAAGCAACCACGACGGAGACGAACGGGAGAUCUUCGUCGUAUCAUCAUCCAGUACCGAAUCACAAAGCGCCGACGCCGUACACAAGUAUGUAAGCGAUACGGACGAAGAAAACGACGUCGUGCGGAAUGUUGACAAGGAGUAUGUAAGCGAUACUGAUGAAGAAGAAGAAGAAGAAAAAGCGGUGGAAGUAGAGAAGAAGGUUUAUAGGAGGAAGGGGAAGAAAGGAGACGAAACCGAAGCGAAAAAGGCGAAGAAAACAGUGGAUAGUAGUGAGAGUGAAAACCUAAAAACGUAUAUGAGAAAGAAGAAGAUCAAAAAUGGAGAGGAGGUUGAAAAUGUCGCUGCGAAAAGCAGCAAAAAGGAGAAAAUUAUGAAGGAGAAGAAUGAAAAAGAUUCCGGGAAAACAGUGUUUGGUAAGAAGGAAAAAACAGGUAAAACGGCGAAGAACAAUGGAGAUUCUAGUCGUGGAGGCAAAAAUGAAAAGAAUAAUAAGAAGAAGGAUGAGAGGAAGGAAGCAGAUGGAGAAAGAAAAGUAGCAAAAAAGGCGAAAAGCAAUGGAGGUGAAAAUGAGAAAGAUGAGAACAAGAAGAAGAAGAAGAAAAGAGUAGAAGAAGGAGGAGGAGGAGAAUCAACAAAAAAGGCGAAAAGCAAUGGUGUUUUGAGUCCAUUGAAAAAAGAAGAGAAAAACAUGAAGAAGACACAGAAUAAGAAUCAAAAUGGUGGUUCUAGUAAUGGAGGUGAAAAUGAGAAGGAUGAGAACAACAAGAAGAAGAAAAGGGAAGAAGAAGGAGGAAAAUCAGCAAAAAAGGCUAAGAGCAAUGGUGUUUCGAGUCCGUUGAAAAAAGAAGAGAAAAAGAUGAACAAGACACAAAAUAAGAAGGAAGGAGAUAAAGAGGCUGAAGAAAAGCUAGUGAAAAAGUCAAAUAGUAAUGGAGUUGCAAGUCCAGCUACAAAGGGGAAGAUGAAAAAGGAGGGCAAAACAAAUAAUGGGAAGGUGAAAAAUGAAGCAAGGACCAAUGGUACCCCCAAAAAAAACGAGGAGAAGAAAUUAAAGGCAAAGAAGAAAAGGGAGGAUGAUGAUGAAGAGGAGGAGGAAGAUGAGAAGAGUGAGAGUACUCUUUAUCAAUUUCCCCAUAAUCGGAUCCAUCGUAUGAUAAAGGAUGAAAAUCCUGAUAUUAGGAUGUCGAACGAAGCAACCUUUGUUAUUAACAAAGCUACGGAGAAAUUUCUUGAAGUAUUUUGCAGGGAAGCUUAUGCUUGUUCUUUUCUGGAUCGCAACAAUUAUGUUGGAUACAACCAUUUGUUCAUUGAAGUUUCUCCUGAACUGAAGGUUCCAUCCAUGAGUGUCCCACAUCUCAGCUACUUUCUUGUGUUGGCUUACUGCCAGCCCAUGAAUGUCAGGAAAUAAUUCCUAAUGGAGGACUCAUAUUAGGUUAGAAGCUUCAGUUGUUUCCAAAAGACCCAGAUUUGACUUUCUUUCAGAUUUUGUUCCCCAGAAAGUGAGAGCGGAAGAUGCUUUGGCUGAAAUCCCCAAGGUUGAGGAGACGUGAUUAAUCCAGAGUUGAUGCCUUAAUACAAUUUUUUGUUGUUCUUACAAGACAACCACUUUUUGCACCAGCUAUUGAGGGCAGUGACAUAGUUUUCAGAUUUGCUUCAUUUGAAUUAGCGUGUUCGUAUUAAAUAGAGGAUAUAGGGAGAGAAGGUUAGGGAAGGGGAAAAAAACCUGGGGUUUAGGGGUGGUAAAUGGGGCAGUCUUGUUCUAAUCAAAUUGGUUUCCUAUUUGUGCAGCUUAUGUCUGUAAAUAAACAUGUACUUCCUGUGAACUAUUGAACGUUUAGCUAGACUUAAAUGAUAGUAGUUGACAAGUUCUGAUCAGUUAA
RNA transcript from Lycium barbarum (goji berry), 2097 nucleotides. RefSeq lists it as uncharacterized. The record is from RefSeq and is a predicted model, not a curated record. Lineage: Eukaryota; Viridiplantae; Streptophyta; Magnoliopsida; Solanales; Solanaceae. The transcript is spliced from 6 exons.